AAAAGCCUUUGGUUUCCGGGUGUGCUUAGACGUUGCAGACAAAACUGAAACUUUAAAAGAUUCAGAAAAUGGACAAUUUUACAUUUACGACUUGUACAAGUGUGAGAAAUCCCAAACCAUAUUUUAAAUCCUUUGAAAAUGACUCAUAUAUUUUAGAAAAAUACCGAAAAGGCUAUACUUUCGGUUUAUAUUUGAAUAGGUUCAUUUCGCAUUUUCGAGAUGAAGACUUUUUCGUGCAUGUUGUAGCAGAGUUGAAAUCUAAUCCUAGUCCAAAAUGCAUUAAAGAUGGAAAAAUUAUACCACAUGACAAUAUUAUAUUGAAAUGGCAUUUUGCGUGUGUUAUAUUAAUUUGGUCUAACAAGGAACAAAUAUUUAAAAGUAGAGGGCUUGGUUAUUAUUAUGGAUCUGGAUUUGUAAUCACAGUGAAUCAUGUUAUUGAGAAUCUUGAUGAUUGUAGUAUACUUGUAAUGUUUCUGCAAUAUGAAUAUACUCUAAUUUAUUUGGCUCAUUGUGCAGAAAGAAAUCUAAACCAGGAUUUGGCUAAAAUUAAAUUGCAAGGUUCUGUGGAUUCUCUUCAAUUCGAAAAUCUAAAAACAAUCACAAAUCAAAUUGUCAUAGGGGACCGCGUUUAUUUUUUUUCCCUGAACGAUCGAGGGGACUUUGAAAAAAAGCAGGGCAAAAUUAUGGCGCAACCUCUCUGCAUAAAAGACACCCAAAAAAACGAAUUAUUCAUUUCUGUUGUAGGUAUUAAAGGAGAUAGUGGAAGUCCUGUUUUUUCCUCAAAAAGUGGAAAACUGCUUGGGCUAUUUAGAGCAGAUUCUACAUCAAUAUGUGAAUUAACAAGAUAUGGCCGUGUUGCAAAAUGUAUCAGUCAUUUUAAAAAUUUUGAUAAAAAGAUAAUAAAAUAGCAAUAAAAAAAGAUUUAAAAAGUUGAUAAUAAAAAUAAAAUAAAAUAAAAUAAAAUAAAAAUAAAAAAUAAAUAAAAAAUAUAUAUUUUUGAACAAUUGAAUCCCCACACCACCAUUGACCCCCACACCAUCAUCUUGUGAUCUGACUGUCAUUGAAAGCUCUAGUAUCAAACUCGGUUCCUGGAGGCUCACUGUCCUGCAGAGUUUGACUCCAAGCCUCAACACACCUGCCUGCAAGUCUUACAAUGAAUAAGUCAAAGGCAGUGUCGAGGCUAAACUCUGCAGGACCGCAGCCCCCCAGGAACCGAGUUUGACACCCAUGUUAAUGACAUGUUUCAGUUCUCACAGCAAGUCUACUUGUAAAAUUGCUCCUUGUCUGGCAACGUCCCGAAGAGAGAUCUUGUGCCUUACCCAAUAUAACAUCUUGGGUUUUGUGUUGGUCUGGAGAUGUUUUGUGUGUUGCAGCCUAGCAGGGUUGAUACUGAAAUUCAACUUGGAUAAAAAUGGUUAUGAAUUGCAUCUUGGACAAAAACAUCAAUGUUUUGAGGAAAUGCAUCUCACUUCAUCUUAACAUCAUGCUGAAAACACCUACAGCCGAACAUCCUCUAGACUGCACUAUGAAUGGCACUACGGGUCAAGCCUCCGACCAGUCAAGUGGUCUCCAUCUCUCUUUGUAUACAUUAUUUUUUUUGUUUUUCGAGAACAUUGCUGAAAUUAAAAAGCAAAGAAAAAUGUCCUGAUGGUUGAGUCAUUAUUGCAUAAUACUAAAAUAAUGUUUGAAUAUUUUAUAUAUGUGAAAUUGAAAUGAUUAAAGACUUCAUGAAACCAAAAUUAGUGUUUU
Molecule: long non-coding RNA, 1749 nt
Organism: Triplophysa dalaica
Lineage: Eukaryota; Metazoa; Chordata; Actinopteri; Cypriniformes; Nemacheilidae
Exons: 4
Source: RefSeq, a predicted model, not a curated record